Molecule: ribosomal RNA, 253 nt
Filed under: uncultured bacterium
Lineage: Bacteria
Description: partial 16S ribosomal RNA
Rfam family: Bacterial small subunit ribosomal RNA
Source: RNAcentral
UACGUAGGUGGCAAGCGUUGUCCGGAUUUAUUGGGUUUAAAGGGUGCGUAGGCGGUCAUGUAAGUCAGUGCUGAAAUAUCCCGGCUUAACCGGGAGGGUGGCAUUGAUACUGUAUGACUUGAGUAAAGUUGAGGUUGGCGGAAUUGACGGUGUAGCGGUGAAAUGCUUAGAUAUCGUCAAGAACACCUAUUGCGAAGGCAGCUAACUAAGCUUUAACUGACGUUGAGGCACGAAAGUGUGGGGAUCAAACAGG